RNAcentral lists this transfer RNA (72 nucleotides) under Klosneuvirus KNV1. RNAcentral describes it as "tRNA-Met". The record is from RNAcentral. Lineage: Varidnaviria; Bamfordvirae; Nucleocytoviricota; Megaviricetes; Imitervirales; Mimiviridae.
UUCCUUCACUCUGAUUCGAACAGAGAAUACAACCUCAUGAGGGUCGUGUGAUAACCAUUUCACUAUGAAGGA